UGCCUACGGGGGGCUGCAGUGGGGAAUCUUAGACAAUGGGCGCAAGCCUGAUCUAGCCAUGCCGCGUGAGCGAUGAAGGCCUUAGGGUUGUAAAGCUCUUUCGUGGGGGAAGAUAAUGACUGUACCCCAAGAAGAAGCCCCGGCUAACUCCGUGCCAGCAGCCGCGGUAAUACGGAGGGGGCUAGCGUUGUUCGGAAUUACUGGGCGUAAAGCGCACGUAGGCGGACUGGAAAGUCAGGGGUGAAAUCCCGGGGCUCAACCCCGGAACUGCCUUUGAAACUCCCAGUCUUGAGUUCGAGAGAGGUGAGUGGAAUUCCGAGUGUAGAGGUGAAAUUCGUAGAUAUUCGGAGGAACACCAGUGGCGAAGGCGGCUCACUGGCUCGAUACUGACGCUGAGGUGCGAAAGCGUGGGGAGCAAACAGGAUUAGAUACCCCUGUAGUCAA
Molecule: ribosomal RNA, 444 nt
Filed under: uncultured Rhodobacter sp.
Lineage: Bacteria; Pseudomonadati; Pseudomonadota; Alphaproteobacteria; Rhodobacterales
Description: bacterial SSU rRNA
Rfam family: Bacterial small subunit ribosomal RNA
Source: RNAcentral